CGCCGCNGGAGGGUGAACGGCCACAUUGGGACUGAGACACGGCCCAAACUCCUACGGGAGGCAGCAG
This 67-nucleotide ribosomal RNA is filed under the name uncultured bacterium. RNAcentral's name for it is "partial 16S ribosomal RNA". The record is from RNAcentral.